RNAcentral lists this ribosomal RNA (1333 nucleotides) under uncultured bacterium. RNAcentral's name for it is "bacterial SSU rRNA". It matches the Rfam family "Bacterial small subunit ribosomal RNA", at positions 28 to 1382 of the family's 1533-position model. The record is from RNAcentral.
GACGAACGCUGGCGGCGCGCCUAACACAUGCAAGUCGAACGAGAGAUGAGGAGCUUGCUCUUCAAAUCGAGUGGCGAACGGGUGAGUAACGCGUGAGGAACCUGCCUCAAAGAGGGGGACAACAGUUGGAAACGACUGCUAAUACCGCAUAAGCCCACGGCUCGGCAUCGAGCAGAGGGAAAAGGAGCAAUCCGCUUUGAGAUGGCCUCGCGUCCGAUUAGCUAGUUGGUGAGGUAACGGCCCACCAAGGCGACGAUCGGUAGCCGGACUGAGAGGUUGAACGGCCACAUUGGGACUGAGACACGGCCCAGACUCCUACGGGAGGCAGCAGUGGGGAAUAUUGCACAAUGGGGGAAACCCUGAUGCAGCGACGCCGCGUGGAGGAAGAAGGUCUUCGGAUUGUAAACUCCUGUUGUUGAGGAAGAUAAUGACGGUACUCAACAAGGAAGUGACGGCUAACUACGUGCCAGCAGCCGCGGUAAAACGUAGGUCACAAGCGUUGUCCGGAAUUACUGGGUGUAAAGGGAGCGCAGGCGGGAGAACAAGUUGGAAGUGAAAUCCAUGGGCUCAACCCAUGAACUGCUUUCAAAACUGUUUUUCUUGAGUAGUGCAGAGGUAGGCGGAAUUCCCGGUGUAGCGGUGGAAUGCGUAGAUAUCGGGAGGAACACCAGUGGCGAAGGCGGCCUACUGGGCACCAACUGACGCUGAGGCUCGAAAGUGUGGGUAGCAAACAGGAUUAGAUACCCUGGUAGUCCACACCGUAAACGAUGAUUACUAGGUGUUGGAGGAUUGACCCCUUCAGUGCCGCAGUUAACACAAUAAGUAAUCCACCUGGGGAGUACGACCGCAAGGUUGAAACCCAAAGGAAUUGACGGGGGCCCGCACAAGCAGUGGAGUAUGUGGUUUAAUUCGACGCAACGCGAAGAACCUUACCAAGUCUUGACAUCCUGCGACGCACAUAGAAAUAUGUGUUUCCUUCGGGACGCAGAGACAGGUGGUGCAUGGUUGUCGUCAGCUCGUGUCGUGAGAUGUUGGGUUAAGUCCCGCAACGAGCGCAACCCUUAUGGUCAGUUACUACGCAAGAGGACUCUGGCCAGACUGCCGUUGACAAAACGGAGGAAGGUGGGGAUGACGUCAAAUCAUCAUGCCCUUUAUGACUUGGGCUACACACGUACUACAAUGGCGUUAAACAAAGAGAAGCAAGACCGCGAGGUGGAGCAAAACUCAGAAACAACGUCCCAGUUCGGACUGCAGGCUGCAACUCGCCUGCACGAAGUCGGAAUUGCUAGUAAUCGUGGAUCAGCAUGCCACGGUGAAUACGUUCCCGGGCCUU